GCCCAACAACCCGCCAGGCGCCUGCUGGCCACUCCACGAUUCCCUAGCACCAGGCCAUUUUGCGGUGGCUAGCUUAGGGAUUUCUAUUCUCCCAAGAAGCCUCGGCGCGAGUCUUGCAGUUUUCGGAACAGCAAAUAAAUGGCUCCUAAAACCCGUUCUUCCCGCGCCCCUUCCCGCAACGCCUCCCGUCCCUCCACUCCUCUAGAUACGUCUUCACUAUUUCCUUCUUCAUCCGUCUCAGAGGCGACAAGGCCUAGGAAACAACGAAAAUCUGCCCACAACGCACGUGGCGCUACGGAUUUGUCUCAGGAGUCCCUGCUAGGUCAGGAGACAAAGACCACCUCACCAUAUUCAGAUCAGCAGCUCACAGGCCAAACAACGACACUAUCUGGUGCUCAGUUGCCGCGCUCGCGGUGGGAUGAGCCGUGGGUUGAGCCUGAAUUACCCCCGCCAACUCCAAGCUACAAAUUCGAUUCCAAGAAGGGGGAGAAGACUUAUCACCUUGCUAGCACUACCCCCUUAGGAGUUCUUCCGUCGAUCAGUGUACGUCGACGACUCGGUCUCAUGCCUACCGCGAAAUCUUCUACCCCGAUUCCCGCCAAGAACAACGGCACUAAAUCUGCAAAAUCAACUCCCACGGGUGACUACAGGCCGGGAACUGCCUCGACUUCUGCGGAUGAGCCUGGGCCAUCAGAAAGCCCAUUCAUGCAGAGUGGAUUUCCAUCCCUUCCGAAUGGAGACAGAACCCUAAGUCCUACGCGCUCUACAAUGGGGAACAACAACAUAGAACCGGAGAUCGCACCCAUUAACGGUCAUCCACUUACACCGACUUUACUCUCCACACCUCCUACAUUGAAAUAUCCACAAGAAACAAUCCUAAAAGUUGUUGACGCAGCCAUCGCUCGUGCGGAGGAGCUUAAGGAUAUAAAAGUUGCUAACGGCCUAAAACAGAUCAGGGAUGCUACCGCUAAGGAUCAAUUUCUUUUCGCUGUUCUGGAGGGUGUAUUCAGCAAGGAGGCUGGGCCCCAUGAGAAAUCACGCUUCCAGACUGUCAUGCGAGAUGCGGUCAGAAAAGAUCGAAGCAAACAUUCCACCCAUGAAGCUAUUGCGAUGACACGUACCCAGUCUUCUGCUAGUACCUCGUCAUCACUCUCCUCCGCAAAAUCACUUGAUGCCGAAACCUUCGCCCCUGCAAUGACUUCCGGUCGUGCAGCCAAUUCGGUUCCUCACAAACGCAAAGGACGACGAGCGACGGGACCACACGCCAAGGGAAAGAAGCGUUCCGUUCCUGCGAGGUCUCAAUCUGUUUUCCCAUCCUUAGAAGACCCUGAUACUCGAAAACGCAAGAGAAUGGACGAUCUAGAGUACUCGGACGAAGCUCUUGCAGCUAAGCGUUUGGCGUUGAGAAAGACUUUUAACGAUUUUCCUGUCCCAGAAAGCCACAUCCGACCUUCCAGAACCCCUGUCACCAUUGAGACCGCUUCUCCAUCACCGCAGCCAGUACCUUCAACCAGCAGCAAAAGAUCAAGAGAGAUAUUCGAGUCGAGUGAAAGUGGAGAUAAAGUUGAAGUUGCUCCCGCCAUUCCACAAAAACCUCCCAAGAGAACACGGAAAUCGGUUGCGCCGCCGGAUGAAAUCGAUAACAUUGAUUUUUGUCGUCUGUGUAACGGUAGUGGCCAGCUUCUGUGUUGUGACGGAUGCAUUGACUCGUUCCAUUUCGAAUGCUUGGCGCCGCCCAUGGAUCCCAAAUCACCACCUGAGGGACAGUGGUUCUGCCCUACUUGUAGGGUAAAGGGGACGUUGGGCCCUUUGAUAGAAACGGUGGAGAACAUGCCACCGAAGAACUACGAGCUACCACCCG
RNAcentral lists this small RNA (1861 nucleotides) under Histoplasma ohiense. RNAcentral's name for it is "hypothetical lncRNA". Lineage: Eukaryota; Fungi; Ascomycota; Eurotiomycetes; Onygenales; Ajellomycetaceae. The record is from RNAcentral.